This 807-nucleotide ribosomal RNA is filed under the name Candidatus Mycoplasma haematobovis. RNAcentral describes it as "bacterial SSU rRNA". It matches the Rfam family "Bacterial small subunit ribosomal RNA", at positions 71 to 900 of the family's 1533-position model. The record is from RNAcentral. Lineage: Bacteria; Bacillati; Mycoplasmatota; Mollicutes; Mycoplasmatales; Mycoplasmataceae.
ACUUUGGUUUCGGCCAAAGUUAGUGGCGAACGGGUGAGUAAUACAUAUCUAACAUGCCCCUCUGUAGGGAAUAGCCACUUGAAAAGGUGAUUAAUACCCUAUAGGUAACUUUCUCACAAGAGUUAGUUAUUAAAGCUUUAUGCGCUGAGGGAUUGGGAUAUGCUCUAUUAGCUUGUUGGCGGGGUAAAAGCCCACCAAGGCUAUGAUAGAUAGCUGGUCUUAGAGGAUGAACAGCCACAAUGGGAUUGAGAUACGGCCCAUAUUCCUACGGGAAGCAGCAGUAGGGAAUCUUCCACAAUGGACGAAAGUCUGAUGGAGCAAUACCAUGUGAACGAUGAAGGUCUUUUUGAUUGUAAAGUUCUUUUAUGAGGGAUAACAACUGAUAGUACCUCAUGAAUAAGUGACAGCAAACUAUGUGCCAGCAGCUGCGGUAAUACAUAGGUCGCAAGCAUUAUUCGGAUUUAUUGGGCGUAAAGCAAGCGCAGGCGGAUGUGUAAGUUCUGUGUUAAAAGUAGCUACUUAAUAGUUGUUUGCACCGAAUACUACAUGUCUAGAAUGUGGUAGGAAGUUUUGGAAUUAAACAUGGAGCGGUGGAAUGUGUAGAUAUGUUUAAGAACACCGGAGGCGAAGGCGAAAACUUAGGCCAUAAUUGACGCUUAGGCUUGAAAGUGUGGGGAGCAAAUGGGAUUAGAUACCCCAGUAGUCCACACCGUAAACGAUGGGUAUUAGGUAUUGGGGUUUGAGCCUCAGUGCUGUAGCUAACGUGUUAAAUACCCCGCCUGGGUAGUACAUAUGCAAAUAUGAAAC